AUGGCCUAUUCUCGAAGGGAAAUGCAAACUGAAAAGGGGCAGCGCUCAGAAUGUGUGCAAACUUUAAAUGGUGAACCUGAAGCUGUCGAUGUAAAAGAUCUACACGUCGUGAAGAUUGAACCUCAAGAUAUGGUAACCAGAAAUUCAACAGAGGACCGCAAUGCAGAAGAUAAUUUGACGAGCAGAAUGGCCAAAGAUAACUAUUUGAAGACCAUCGCUGAUACAAUGGCAGCUUCAUCCACUACCGAAGACAUGAACAAUCGUGGAAUUAUUUGCCACAACCCUGUACUUCAUGAGCAGGAAUCAGCCAAAGAAGCAUCAGCAAGCCAUAAAACGCCGAAACAAGAUGUCAUCCAAAAAGAAAUUGUGGAAAUCCAGCAUAUGCUCAUGAGAUUUCAUCAAAUGAAAAAUUCUGGAAUCUUGACUCCUGGAGAAAUCAACAAUAUGAUGUCCUUGAGGAACAGGUUGAAAAUGCUGAAACAGAAACAUUCUCGUCUAAAGGCAGAAGCUGAACGGCAGAGAAGGCGACGGCAUGAACUUAAGAAUAAACUGUUCAUGCUUGCCAAUGAUCAUCACAGCCUACAGAAUUUUGCGCGAGGGAAGCACGGGAGACCAAGUUUGGAAACGGAUAAACCGGAACUAUUAUGCGUUAUCAAAGAUCUCGCUGUCGGUGCUGGUGCGGUCGAUGACCGUCCACAUUCGGGGUAUUUCCAGUCUUCGAAAACUCUCAAUCAACUGACUGAAGAAUUGCAUCAACAAGGAUUUCACAUUAGUCGUGCGGCCACAUAUUUGCGUCUGACACCAAGACAGAGCGAUACGGAACAAGGAAAGAGACAUGUUUCUACAGUUCCUGUGAAAUUGAUGCGAGCUCCAAAGACUCGCCAUGAAUCUCACGUAGACACGGAUUUCACCUUGGCAACAAUAUCUUAUGUUAAGGAUUUGUGUUCAUGGUUUGGACCAAAGACCUGUUCUUUUCUAAGUAUGGAUCAUAAAGCCAGAGUUCCCAUUGGACUCACCAGUGUACCUAAUGAAGAUGUUGACGGGGUGCAGAUGGAAGAUCAUGUUGAGCAUUUCGAACAAGAUUCCGCCGCUGUUGAAACCCUCAACCUGAUGCUUUCGGUCUAUGCUUCUUGCGCAAUUUCGAACAACAUGUUGCAGUCGGCUGUCACCUACAGUGGUCCAACCUACAUCACUAUUAGGGAUGAAAAGCAUGACCGAAGCACCAUAGGUACCCAUGCCCGAGAUUUUGAACAUUUACUGGAGCUCGAAAGCUUCAAAGCGGUGAUGUGUUACGAGACCGGUGAGCUAAAGCCAAUUCUUGUUUGCAACAUUGACAGUGGGCCUGAUGAAAACCCCAGGUUACCGAAGCCAUUGCAAGUCGCCUGCAAUCGAUUCAGGGCACACAAUUUGGAUGUAUAUUUAGCUUUAACGCAAGCUCCGGGAUUUUCAAUGUACAAUCACUUGGAGCGCCGGUUAGCAAUACUCUGUCGAGAUCUAUCGGAACGUGCACUUCCAAGUGAUUCCUUUGGGAGUCACCAUCACAGCUCGGGAGACACAAAUGACUCUGAAUUGGAAGUUCAGUACAUCAAGAAAGCUGGAGAAGCGCUUGCAGAAAGGUGGUCGGGCUCUUUGCUGGACUCGUACAAUGUCACCGCCGAGUACUUGGAGGCUGGGGAUAAGUCGACUGGUGAGCUCGACAGUGUCUCUCAAAAAUGGGUGGCAAAUCACGUGCGCCAAAGCCAGUACCUUCUGCAAAUUAUAAAAUGUGAUGAUGGAACAUGCUGCAUGGAAUGGCGUACUAACUGGAACGAGAUGGUUCCAACAAGGUUCUUACCAGCACCUUUCCCUUUGCAACGGUCACAAAAUGGUCUCACAGACGUACUGACGAAAAUGAAGGUGGAAGUUGAUGACGCAGAUGGUGGAGAUACGAGAGAACUUUUCAACAUCGUGAAGAUUGAACCAGAAAAUGGGGAGGUCUUGGAAGAAAGUGAUGAGGAACCAACAAAUCAUGGUUCAACAUUUUCCUCGGGUCUGAUCGAUGCGCCACAGCUGGCUGGUCCCAGCAACUCUGUGUUAAACCGAGAAUUGCCAUCGUCCACAUCGUCUUCCAGAAUGACUACUCGGAAUUUUACAAGAUUCAGAGCAAAUCGGAAAAGGAAAUUGGGCGUUUGUGUGGAAUUUACGAAGACCUUGCGAGAGAUGCAGAGGAAGCAGCUCGAAUGGGACGCCGAUCAGAGGGAGUUGGACCGAGAGGAGAGGAGGCGGCGUGACCAGGAGAGACGAGAAGAGAAGAGGUGGUGUGAAGAGGAAGAAAGGAGGCGCGAGGAUGAAGAGAGGCGGCUCGAUGAAGAGAGGAGGCGUGAUGAAGAGGAGAGGAGGCGAGACAGAGAAAGUUUCUUUGCUUUAAAUGCGCAGCUGAUAUCCUCUAUUAAUAAUGUCGCGACGGCGCUUAUUGCUAAAAGACGUCCGAAAUGAUCGUUGAGAAGGAAGGGUUGAUUUCUUUAGCUUGUAUAUAUAUAUAUAAGGGUGAAUUUUCUCAUGUUUGUGUAUUUUGAAAUGAAAGGGAAACUGGAGGAGAACUGGGGGUGGGGGGGGGAGAAUGUGGUUGGGGGGUUUGGGUUUAUUCUUUUGAGUUGAAGGAGUUUCAUUGUGAGGUUGGAGUUGUGAGGUCCCAAACGAUGUACUCUUAACUCUUACCUUUGAGCUAUCUCUUCUUGGUUUGAAUUCGGAUUCAGCUAUAAACUCUCAUAUUGGUGUUUCACACAUGUGGUGAUUCAUCAUUGUGUGCACUGUCCUUGGGACUGAAGUUAAGCUGGGUGUUCCACCUGAAACCAUUAGUUAGUGGACAUUAAAGAUCCCAUAGUGUCAUUCGUGAAUAGAAGGCGAGCUAUCGGCGAAACCAUGAACAAAUGACAAAUUCUUGCCCCAACUGACUGCUCAGUGGGGCAACGCCAAACCACGUAGCAUAACCAAACCACAAAGAGUAAUGUAACUAUGCAGCACAACGGGUCAGCUCAAGUAUGGGAGCAUGCACCGGAGCAGCGCAUCGCUGCAUCCACUUUCAGCCAGGUCACCAGGGGCCUCCGCCUGACCAUUACCCAGGCAGAUGCCCUGCCCAUCCCAAUACUGCAACCACGAGGCACGUGGAUGGCCCAUUGGCCUCCUCCACCAACGAGGCUCCCUCUUUGAGAGAAUCUGGUGAGCAGGAUCAGCGUCGGGAAAACGAGACACAUGCUGAUGCUCACGGACUAUAAGUUGACUAUAACAAAUCUCAUUUCUCACUCAGCAAACGCUCAUUGAGCACAAAGACUGAACAGCGAUAGCUAAGGAUUCUUUGAAGAGACCUGGAAACGAAAGAGUGAAGUCUCUGUCAGAUCCUUGGUCAGAGUCCAAAUCUCACGUCCAUAAAGCAAGACUGGAAGGACCAAGGACCUGAAGACUCAGACUGUCAUCCUCCUGCAUAGGUACCGACAGCACCACGCCCCAUGAUCCAGUGAAUCCAUGUCUCUCCAGGGCCGACACAGACGUCUAUCGACCUCUGGCUCACAACAUGCGGAGACAGGAAUAUCACUGCCAAGGUAAGUGAAUCUUGCCGUGACCUCAAUAUAUUCACCACAAACAGGUUCAGACAAGACAGCAGCAUCCAAAAUGUCAUUGAAAGCCUGGAUCUUAGUUUUGACCCAGGAAACCCGUAAUCCCAGUGGAUCUGACUCCUUAUUCAGCACCUUGAGGGCCCCCGUAAGGAUAUCCAGGGUUUCCGCAAGGAUGACUGCAUCAUCUGCAAAAUCACGGUCAGAGAUCUUGACAUUCCCAAACAAUACACCGCAACUUGAUGUCUCCGACAUCCUCCCUAGAAUCCAGUCUGUACAAGCACUGAAAAGUGUGGAGGCAAGGACACACCCCUGAUGAAAACUCCAGUAACUGCUGGAAAGAAGUCAGAGAUGGAACCACCACACCUCACAGCACUUUAAGUUCCAGAGUAUAGUUCAGAAAUUAGAUUGAUCAGUUUUGGUGGUACUCCACAAAGACCGAGAAUCCUCCAGAGGGCAUCCCAAUUCACUGAAUGUAACGCUUUACAGAGAUCAACAUCGGCUGCAAGCAGCCCCUGCCAAAACUCUAAUCUGCAUUCGGUGAGGACCCGGAGAGCAAGGAUACGGUCAAUCGUUGACCUCUUUCGUGUGAAGCCCGACUGCUCUGGGUGCUGGUGCUGAAGCAGAUGGUGGUAAACUCUAUCCAGAAUUAUCCGAGCAAAGACCUUGCCCGGCACUGAGAACAGCAUCACCCCUCGGUAGUCGUUGCAUUCUUGGCGAUCACCCUUCCCUUUCCAGAGAGUAACAACAAGGCCCCUCUUACAGUCAGUUGGGAUGAUGCCCGUGUUCCCAACAGAACACAGAACUGCAUGCAACGACAUGAAUACAGCAUUUCCACCAACCUUGAGAAGUUCGGUGGGACAUCACAGAUCCCUGGAGCUUCACCCCAUUUCAACCGGUUCACCGCAGCCUGUGUUUCCACAAAUGAAGAUGGUUUUCAGUUGAUUGGAGGGUCAGCAAUAGGGAUAGUAACAGCCCUGACAUCCAUCUCAACAGCUGAUGGCUCAGCCUGGUAUAGCAGCUCAAAGUAAUCUGCCCAGCAGGUUUUCACUUUGCACUGCUCUGUCAAGAGGUCACCACCCUCUGCUCUAACUGCAGUACACCGAGUGACAGGCUUGGAGGAAUAUUUGCAAUUCUGCAGACCACAUUGCAGAACCAAACUACCAAUUGUAUCCAAACUACCAACUGUAACCAAACCACCAAGCAUAACCAAGCCACCCAGAAUAACGUAAACAUGCAGAAUAACGUCAUCACCCAGAGUAACUUAACCACUCAGCAUAACCAAACCACACAGAGUAACGUAACCACCCAGCAUAACCAAAGUACCAAGCACAUACAAACCACCCACCAUAACCAAACCACAAAGAGUCAUGUAACCACUUAACGUAACCCAACAACCCAGAGUAACUAAACCACCCAGCAUAACCAAACUACCCAGAGUAACCAAACCAUCCAGCAUAACCAAACUACCCAGAGUAACCAAACCAUCCAGCACAACCCUUGCACAGGAACUGCUUCAGCAGCACCGAUGCUCUCUCUGCAAAGAGUAUGGUACAUUGAUGAUGACGGUUAAACACAGUGAGUGGUUUGAACAAGUAAUUUUAUUUACUGCAAAAUAGUUUUCUACAGUUGAGCCACUUGAGGGCGUGAGUGCUCCAACAAAUUUCCAGACAAUUAUUCACCAUUCUAAAUACAAGGUGCAACAUCCCUUUAUUGAAUCGUCAAUUAUAAGUCUAACCUAAUUCUGGUACUCCGCCUGAAAGCAAAUUCAUUGUCCCCAAAGUAGCCUCACGUCGAGGAUUACACUGGGUGGUUUGCCUUUGCCUUCCCAGUGUAUGAAUUUGUUUAGGAUGCUGACGAUAGCUCACAUAAUCUUGGCGAAGGAGACAAAGGAUCUUCAACAUCCACCAACGAAUGCUGGUAGACAGGUCCAUCCGAUGGAUAUGCAUACGUUGAUGUUUCACCUUAUGUGCAAAAUACAAGGAUGGCAGUUGAUACCUGGGUCAGGAUUCAAAUAGAGAUGCGACAGCUCAGAGAUGAGUGUGCACAUAUGCAAGCUAUCCUGCCAGACCAUCAAUUAUACAUACAUGUGCUAAUAUAUGUGAAAUCAAUGAAUGCCAAUCAAGAAGCCAAUUGAUUGGCCUUCCAUUGGCACCAUUGAAUAAAUCAAUGAAAUAAUUCAUAAAAUCAAUGUCAUUAUUUCCCCAAUGGAAAUGUACAGGUGUGCGAUAAUGCUUUGCUAGGAGGUUGGAGCUGUUUUAGCAGUGACGAGAAUAAGGUAGGAAUGAAUAAAAAAAGAAGAUAUUUUUGAAUGAAACACCAUGAAUUGGUUAGAGUACUUACUCUGAGUCUGGUAGGUCGGUGGUUCAAUACCGAGACAUACCAAGGUAUAAAAAUGACCGGGCGUAGUGGCUUGCGCCUGUAAUCCGGCUACUCGGAGGCUUGGGUUGGAGGAUCGCUUGAGGACGGGAUCUCUGCGUUGGGCCGCGCUACGAGAGGGUGUAGGGCAGCCCGGAAUCAUGGCGAAACCCAAUCCUUAUCCCUGUGUCGUAAGAGGCGACCC
Molecule: long non-coding RNA, 6153 nt
Organism: Eptatretus burgeri (inshore hagfish)
Lineage: Eukaryota; Metazoa; Chordata; Myxini; Myxiniformes; Myxinidae
Source: Ensembl